AAAACGGCUGACAGGGCAUCAGUAGACUGGGUGUUCUUCAUCGACACGCUGAUCUUCUCGUUCUGGUCGGAGGACGAGCGGCGAGCGUUCACCGUGUGACACAGAGGUCGCGACCUCACCGACUACUUCUCUCUCUGCGCAGCCGUCAACAGGUCGCUGGAGGCUGGCGUUCCCCUGACGGACCCUGCGUACUACUCCACCCUGACGCUGGAGAAGCUGAGAGAGCAU
Molecule: long non-coding RNA, 228 nt
Organism: Priapulus caudatus
Lineage: Eukaryota; Metazoa; Priapulida; Priapulimorpha; Priapulimorphida; Priapulidae
Exons: 3
Source: RefSeq, a predicted model, not a curated record